ACUGUUCUAGAAUAUUCUCAACCAGGUAACAUACACACGGUUCUAGAAUAUUCUCCACCAGGUAACAUACACACUGUUCUAGAAUAUUCUCCACCAGGUAACAUACACACUGUUCUAGAAUAUUCUCCACCAGGUAACACACACACACAGUGUUCUAGAAUAUUCUCCACCAGGUAACACACACACACAGUGUUCUAGAAUAUUCUCCACCAGGUAACACACACACAGUGUUCUAGAAUAUUCUCCACCAGGUAACACACACACUGUUCUAGAAUAUUCUCCACCAGGUAACACACACACUGUUCUAGAAUAUUCUCCACCAGGUAACACACACACUGUUCUAGAAUAUUCUCCACCAGGUAACACACACACUGUUCUAGAAUAUUCUCAACCAGGUAACACACACACACACUGUUCUAGAAUAUUCUCCACCAGGUAACAUACACAGUGUUCUAGAAUAUUCUCCACCAGGUAACAUACACACUGUUCUAGAAUAUUCUCCACCAGGUAACACACACACUGUUCUAGAAUAUUCUCAACCAGGUAACAUACACACUGUUCUAGAAUAUUCUCCACCAGGUAACACACACACGGUUCUAGAAUAUUCUCCACCAGUUAACACACACACACUGUUCUAGAAUAUUCUCCACCAGGUAACACACACACUGUUCUAGAAUAUUCUCCACCAGGUAACACACACACUGUUCUAGAAUAUUCUCCACCAGGUAACACACACACUGUUCUAGAAUAUUCUCCACCAGUUAACACACACACACGGUUCUAGAAUAUUCUCAACCAGGUAACAUACACACUGUUCUAGAAUAUUCUCCACCAGGUAACAUACACACUGUUCUAGAAUAUUCUCCACCAGGUAACACACACACUGUUCUAGAAUAUUCUCCACCAGGUAACAUACACACUGUUCUAGAAUAUUCUCCACCAGGUAACAUACACACUGUUCUAGAAUAUUCUCAACCAGGUAACACACACACUGUUCUAGAAUAUUCUCCACCAGGUAACACACACACACACUGUUCUAGAAUAUUCUCCACCAGGUAACACACACACUGUUCUAGAAUAUUCUCCACCAGGUAACACACACACUGUUCUAGAAUAUUCUCAACCAGGUAACAUACACACUUUUCUAGAAUAUUCUCAACCAGGUA
Oncorhynchus keta (chum salmon) is the source of this 1166-nucleotide long non-coding RNA. RefSeq lists it as uncharacterized. The record is from RefSeq and is a predicted model, not a curated record. The transcript has 3 exons. Lineage: Eukaryota; Metazoa; Chordata; Actinopteri; Salmoniformes; Salmonidae.